RNAcentral lists this ribosomal RNA (460 nucleotides) under uncultured bacterium. RNAcentral's name for it is "partial 16S ribosomal RNA". It matches the Rfam family "Bacterial small subunit ribosomal RNA", at positions 338 to 795 of the family's 1533-position model. The record is from RNAcentral.
CCUACGGGAGGCAGCAGUGAGGAAUAUUGGUCAAUGGACGAGAGUCUGAACCAGCCAAGUAGCGUGAAGGAUGACUGCCCUAUGGGUUGUAAACUUCUUUUAUAAAGGAAUAAAACGAGGCACGUGUGCCUUUUUGCAUGUACUUUAUGAAUAAGGAUCGGCUAACUCCGUGCCAGCAGCCGCGGUAAUACGGAGGAUCCGAGCGUUAUCCGGAUUUAUUGGGUUUAAAGGGAGCGUAGAUGGGUUGUUAAGUCAGUUGUGAAAGUUUGCGGCUCAACCGUAAAAUUGCAAUUGAUACUGGCAGUCGUGAGUACAGUUGAGGUAGGCGGAAUGCGUGGUGUAGCGGUGAAAUGCUUAGAUAUCACGAAGAACCCCGAUUGCGAAGGCAGCUUACUAAACUGUGACUGACAUUGAUGCUCGAAAGUGUGGGUAUCAAACAGGAUUAGAUACCCUGGUAGUC